CCCUUCAGAGGGGGACAACAGUUGGAAACGACUGCUAAUACCGCAUACGAUCCAAUCUCGGCAUCGAGACUGGAUGAAAGGUGGCCUCUAUUUAUAAGCUAUCACUGAAGGAGGGGAUUGCGUCUGACUAGCUAGUUGGAGGGGUAACGGCCCACCAAGGCGAUGAUCAGUAGCCGGUCUGAGAGGAUGAACGGCCACAUUGGGACUGAGACACGGCCCAG
Molecule: ribosomal RNA, 221 nt
Filed under: uncultured bacterium
Lineage: Bacteria
Description: partial 16S ribosomal RNA
Rfam family: Bacterial small subunit ribosomal RNA
Source: RNAcentral